GCGACGUCCGUCCGAUUUUCGUUACGGAGUGCGAAAUUUUUAUAAUUUUUCAAUUGUAUUGUUUGUUCCCUUUCUGGCUAUGGUGCUAUGGAUGCUGCGGUUGUCCUGCGCCUGUGACACACGACUGAGCAGUGGGACACGUGGCGGGGCUAUAGCUAUUAGGAAAAACGAUUUCCUUGACGCUGCUAAUAGAAAUCUUGC
This 201-nucleotide long non-coding RNA is filed under the name Drosophila guanche. The record is from RNAcentral. Lineage: Eukaryota; Metazoa; Arthropoda; Insecta; Diptera; Drosophilidae.